GACGUAGGGCGCGAGCGUUGUCCGGAUUUAUUGGGCGUAAAGAGCUCGUAGGCGGCUUGUCGCGUCGACUGUGAAAUCCCGCGGCUCAACUGCGGGUCUGCAGUCGAUACGGGCAGACUAGAGUGUGGUAGGGGAGACUGGAAUUCCUGGUGUAGCGGUGAAAUGCGCAGAUAUCAGGAGGAACACCGAUGGCGAAGGCAGGUCUCUGGGCCACUACUGACGCUGAGAAGCGAAAGCAUGGGGAGCGAACAGG
This 253-nucleotide ribosomal RNA is filed under the name uncultured bacterium. RNAcentral describes it as "partial 16S ribosomal RNA". It matches the Rfam family "Bacterial small subunit ribosomal RNA", at positions 524 to 776 of the family's 1533-position model. The record is from RNAcentral.